UGAAGAGUUUGAUCAUGGCUCAGAUUGAACGCUGGCGGCAGGCCUAACACAUGCAAGUCGAACGGUAACAGGAAGCAGCUUGCUGCUUUGCUGACGAGUGGCGGACGGGUGAGUAAUGUCUGGGAAACUGCCUGAUGGAGGGGGAUAACUACUGGAAACGGUGGCUAAUACCGCAUAACGUCGCAAGACCAAAGAGGGGGACCUUCGGGCCUCUUGCCAUCAGAUGUGCCCAGAUGGGAUUAGCUUGUUGGUGAGGUAACGGCUCACCAAGGCGACGAUCCCUAGCUGGUCUGAGAGGAUGACCAGCCACACUGGAACUGAGACACGGUCCAGACUCCUACGGGAGGCAGCAGUGGGGAAUAUUGCACAAUGGGCGCAAGCCUGAUGCAGCCAUGCCGCGUGUAUGAAGAAGGCCUUCGGGUUGUAAAGUACUUUCAGCGGGGAGGAAGGUGUUGUGGUUAAUAACCGCAGCAAUUGACGUUACCCGCAGAAGAAGCACCGGCUAACUCCGUGCCAGCAGCCGCGGUAAUACGGAGGGUGCAAGCGUUAAUCGGAAUUACUGGGCGUAAAGCGCACGCAGGCGGUCUGUCAAGUCGGAUGUGAAAUCCCCGGGCUCAACCUGGGAACUGCAUUCGAAACUGGCAGGCUUGAGUCUUGUAGAGGGGGGUAGAAUUCCAGGUGUAGCGGUGAAAUGCGUAGAGAUCUGGAGGAAUACCGGUGGCGAAGGCGGCCCCCUGGACAAAGACUGACGCUCAGGUGCGAAAGCGUGGGGAGCAAACAGGAUUAGAUACCCUGGUAGUCCACGCCGUAAACGAUGUCUACUUGGAGGUUGUGCCCUUGAGGCGUGGCUUCCGGAGCUAACGCGUUAAGUAGACCGCCUGGGGAGUACGGCCGCAAGGUUAAAACUCAAAUGAAUUGACGGGGGCCCGCACAAGCGGUGGAGCAUGUGGUUUAAUUCGAUGCAACGCGAAGAACCUUACCUGGUCUUGACAUCCACAGAACUUUCCAGAGAUGGAUUGGUGCCUUCGGGAACUGUGAGACAGGUGCUGCAUGGCUGUCGUCAGCUCGUGUUGUGAAAUGUUGGGUUAAGUCCCGCAACGAGCGCAACCCUUAUCCUUUGUUGCCAGCGGUCCGGCCGGGAACUCAAAGGAGACUGCCAGUGAUAAACUGGAGGAAGGUGGGGAUGACGUCAAGUCAUCAUGGCCCUUACGACCAGGGCUACACACGUGCUACAAUGGCGCAUACAAAGAGAAGCGACCUCGCGAGAGCAAGCGGACCUCAUAAAGUGCGUCGUAGUCCGGAUUGGAGUCUGCAACUCGACUCCAUGAAGUCGGAAUCGCUAGUAAUCGUGGAUCAGAAUGCCACGGUGAAUACGUUCCCGGGCCUUGUACACACCGCCCGUCACACCAUGGGAGUGGGUUGCAAAAGAAGUAGGUAGCUUAACCUUCGGGAGGGCGCUUACCACUUUGUGAUUCAUGACUGGGGUGAAGUCGUAACAAGGUAACCGUAGGGGAACCUGCGGUUGGA
Molecule: ribosomal RNA, 1527 nt
Filed under: Salmonella enterica subsp. enterica serovar Muenchen
Lineage: Bacteria; Pseudomonadati; Pseudomonadota; Gammaproteobacteria; Enterobacterales; Enterobacteriaceae
Also listed under: 15 other names
Description: bacterial SSU rRNA
Rfam family: Bacterial small subunit ribosomal RNA
Source: RNAcentral